CUCCCCCGCCCAUAAAUCCCGGCGGAUCCGCGCCUGUCCCGCUUCCCCAUGACCCUGAUUUUUCUGCCCUUCCCAGGAUUUACCCAGCAGCUGUAAAUGUGCUCACACAACGUCCCUCUGCUUCCCCAGAAGAAGUGAACAAGACAAGUCCUGAGGGUGACCUUGCUCCGUGGCCAAAGUUCCUCUGGAAAGUGGCAGGGGCGUUUCCUGCAGGGUGUCCCAGCUGGCUGGGAGCGCAGGGCAGGAGGAGCCAGAAGCUCCUGAAGGCCAGCAGCCCCUCGUGUCUGUGGGAUCUGCAGCAGGAGCUGUGCCUGCACCGUGGCUCCUGGGCCAGGGGCUGCUCUGAGCAGGCACGUGGAAAUGCUCCAGCCCUCACAGAGCACCAAGAGCCCAGGAGGAGCCCAAGGAGCAGCUGGCAUUACCUGGGAAUGGAGGCACAGCCCGUUUGCACAGGGGCUCACGCAGCAAUUCCCGGUUCAGAGCUCCCACACAGCUGCAGAUACUGAAUCCCAGGCAGGAGCCCUCAGAGAUACCUGGAAAUCAGUGGGAUGGAAUUUGGAGUUUUUCAGGAUCCAGCUGCAAGUGCACAAGUGAAGGAAAGCUUUCACAGGUACCCUGGUGACACCACGUUGGUCCCUUUGCCUUUCUCCAGCCCGAGGCCGCUCCUCCGCUCGCUCUCUCCAGCCUCAUCCCACAGGGAUCCUCUUGUCCCUUCCCUGCUGGCUGCUGCCAAGGAAGG
Zonotrichia leucophrys gambelii is the source of this 739-nucleotide long non-coding RNA. RefSeq lists it as uncharacterized. NCBI's taxonomy places the organism in Eukaryota, Metazoa, Chordata, Aves, Passeriformes, Passerellidae. The transcript has 4 exons. The record is from RefSeq and is a predicted model, not a curated record.